This 87-nucleotide non-coding RNA is filed under the name Pseudomonas lurida. Lineage: Bacteria; Pseudomonadati; Pseudomonadota; Gammaproteobacteria; Pseudomonadales; Pseudomonadaceae. The record is from RNAcentral.
UGUGGGAGCUGGCUUGCCUGCGAUGCGGGCGCCUCAGUGUUCCAGGCAAACCGCGGUGAUGCUAUCGCAGGCAAGCCAGCUCCCACA